This is a small RNA of Shigella dysenteriae Sd197, 76 nucleotides long. It matches the Rfam family "Nucleoid-associated noncoding RNA 4 (CssrE)". From Rfam's summary of the family: In E. coli small RNA transcribed from repeated extragenic palindromic element (REP325) called nucleoid-associated ncRNA 4 (nRNA4) collaborates HU protein in condensing the DNA. The secondary structure but not the sequence of the RNA is important in nucleoid condensation. The record is from Rfam. NCBI's taxonomy places the organism in Bacteria, Pseudomonadati, Pseudomonadota, Gammaproteobacteria, Enterobacterales, Enterobacteriaceae.
GGUCGGAUAAGGCGUUCACGUCGCAUCCGACAAUAACAGCCUUGCCUGAUGCGACGCUGUCGCGUCUUAUCAGGCC